UUGGAGCGGUAGGUGCAUUUGGCACACAAAGCAAGCAUUCAAACCUUGGAGAGGAACAAUUCCCACUUUGGGUUGUGGAAGAGGCAGAGAGCACUAGUUGAGAUGGCCUCCUCUCGCUGUGCAACGAUGCCUUAGUGGGGGUAUAUCAUCAUGACGACUCCUCACCUCACCAUGUUUAUCCCCUCCUCCACCAUCACGACUUCCUUCCAGGCGUGCAGCUCUCAGUUGUGCUCCCCAUCAGAAGCUCCUAUUUCACCCAAUUCAUGCGCCAUCGAUGCUGCUGUGAGGGCAUGAUGGUUUCCAACUCUUCACAUGAUUGACUCGGGUCAUUAUUGCUGUCACUUUGUGUUGCUUAAGCAAAUACCUUUUGAAUCCAUUCCACAUGUUGCAACAAUAGAGAUCUGCAACCCAUAGGCUUUGACUCCAUUCCACAUGUUGCAACGAUAGAGAUCUGCAACCCACAGAGGCUUUGAAUCCAUUCCACAUGUUGCAACAAUAGAGAUCUGCAACAGUUCUGGUGAUUCAUAUAAGAAACAUACACAGGCUGAGUCCAUUCCACAUGUUGCAACAAUAGAUAUCUGCAACAGCACUGGUGAUCAUGUGACCCACAGAGGCUGCAAACAGUGAACAAGACUUGAGACAAGAGGAGGAAGAGGGGCUGACUUCACCUUUAAGGAUGUCCCUUCUUUGUUAACAAUCAUGGCUUCUCUUUCUCUUGAUUGUGUUUUGGAAGCAGCAAUGAUGGUCUGGUCUCCGUUCUAAACGUAUCAUCCCAAAGUCAACAUCUCCAAGGUUAGAUGGAGGAGAAAUGUGUGACACAGCUUCUCACUUCACUGUAAAAGAUAUAGAGGAGGCAGUACCAGAAGCCAGCAAGCUGAUCCCACUCUCCCAACACAAGGAACAGCAGAAGAGAUCAACAAAAUUGGUCAUAUGCCCAGCAUUAUUCUUAGGCUGAACAAAAUCCUCAUCCCUG
RNAcentral lists this long non-coding RNA (973 nucleotides) under Musa acuminata (dwarf banana). RNAcentral's name for it is "long non-coding RNA (MACU_LNC003243)". Lineage: Eukaryota; Viridiplantae; Streptophyta; Magnoliopsida; Zingiberales; Musaceae. The record is from RNAcentral.